UCCCUGAUAGCUCAGUUGGUAGAGCACUCGACUGUUAAUCGAGUUGUCACAGGUUCAAGUGGCUAUAAGGGGACCCU
This 77-nucleotide transfer RNA is filed under the name Paenibacillus borealis. RNAcentral describes it as "tRNA-Asn". It matches the Rfam family "tRNA", at positions 1 to 61 of the family's 71-position model. From Rfam's summary of the family: Transfer RNA (tRNA) molecules are approximately 80 nucleotides in length. Their secondary structure includes four short double-helical elements and three loops (D, anti-codon, and T loops). Further hydrogen bonds mediate the characteristic L-shaped molecular structure. tRNAs have two regions of fundamental functional importance: the anti-codon, which is responsible for specific mRNA codon recognition, and the 3' end, to which the tRNAs corresponding amino acid is attached (by aminoacyl-tRNA synthetases). tRNAs cope with the degeneracy of the genetic code in two manners: having more than one tRNA (with a specific anti-codon) for a particular amino acid; and 'wobble' base-pairing, i.e. permitting non-standard base-pairing at the 3rd anti-codon position. Lineage: Bacteria; Bacillati; Bacillota; Bacilli; Caryophanales; Paenibacillaceae. The record is from RNAcentral.